AGUCUCUCAGCUCCGCUUGAUCAAACAGCUCAGUGUGUGCCUAUGUAUUUUCAAUGAGAGGUAGGCUCUCCCAAUGUGCAGAGCUGCCCAAAAGGGCCUGUCUGUUCCUAGGAGUGCAACUGAU
RNAcentral lists this small nucleolar RNA (124 nucleotides) under Carlito syrichta (Philippine tarsier). RNAcentral describes it as "Small nucleolar RNA SNORA64/SNORA10 family (ENSTSYG00000024276.2)". It matches the Rfam family "Small nucleolar RNA SNORA64/SNORA10 family". From Rfam's summary of the family: This family belongs to the H/ACA class of small nucleolar RNAs (snoRNAs) which act as guides in the the modification of uridines to pseudouridines. This family includes the human snoRNAs U64 and ACA10 and mouse MBI-29. Lineage: Eukaryota; Metazoa; Chordata; Mammalia; Primates; Tarsiidae. The record is from Rfam by way of RNAcentral.